This 499-nucleotide ribosomal RNA is filed under the name uncultured Lachnospiraceae bacterium. RNAcentral describes it as "partial 16S ribosomal RNA". Lineage: Bacteria; Bacillati; Bacillota; Clostridia; Lachnospirales; Lachnospiraceae. The record is from RNAcentral.
CACGUAGUUAGCCGGGGCUUCUUAGCCAGGUACCGUCUUUCUUCUUCCCUGCUGAUAGAGCUUUACAUACCGAAAUACUUCUUCACUCACGCGGCGUCGCUGCAUCAGGGUUUCCCCCAUUGUGCAAUAUUCCCCACUGCUGCCUCCCGUAGGAGUUUGGGCCGUGUCUCAGUCCCAAUGUGGCCGGUCGCCCUCUCAGGCCGGCUACUGAUCGUCGCCUUGGUGGGCCGUUACCUCACCAACUAGCUAAUCAGACGCGGGUCCAUCUCAUACCACCGGAGUUUUUCACACUCUGUCACUCGACAAUGUGCGCUUAUGCGGUUUUAGCAGUCAUUUCUAACUGUUAUCCCCCUGUAUGAGGCAGGUUACCCACGCGUUACUCACCCGUCCGCCGCUAAGGUUUAUUGCUUCCAUCCGAAAACUUCCGCUUUAAACCUCCGCUCGACUUGCAUGUGUUAAGCACGCCGCCAGCGUUCAUCCUGAGCCAGGAUCAAACUCU